UCCAUAACGGGGAAAAAUUCUUAAUGAUCUGAAUACUUCAUGCAGAAUACUACUCUAUAGUUCUUUAGAAGAGUUUUGCAGAUAAUUGGAUAAUGAUAAACAUUGAACAAUUAAUUUGUAUUCUUUAACUAUUGAUGUUUCCCUAUGUGGAGGAGAAGAAUAUCUCAUCUUUUCCAUCUGAAGUUCAAAAAGAACACUCCUUGCCACUGUAUCAAGAUCAGACCAGCAGCAGUGACUGGACAGAAAACCAAUAUGAGGAAAAGAGCAGUAAUUUGAUGAAGAGAUUGCAAAAUAUUUUUUCCUUGUUGCUUGCUUUGCUUGCCAUCUUCC
This 330-nucleotide long non-coding RNA is filed under the name Coturnix japonica (Japanese quail). RNAcentral's name for it is "lncRNA (ENSCJPG00005005248.1)". Lineage: Eukaryota; Metazoa; Chordata; Aves; Galliformes; Phasianidae. The record is from RNAcentral.